RNAcentral lists this ribosomal RNA (155 nucleotides) under Odontella cf. aurita. RNAcentral's name for it is "partial 5.8S ribosomal RNA". It matches the Rfam family "5.8S ribosomal RNA". From Rfam's summary of the family: 5.8S ribosomal RNA (5.8S rRNA) is a component of the large subunit of the eukaryotic ribosome. It is transcribed by RNA polymerase I as part of the 45S precursor that also contains 18S and 28S rRNA. Functionally, it is thought that 5.8S rRNA may be involved in ribosome translocation. The record is from RNAcentral. Lineage: Eukaryota; Bacillariophyta; Thalassiosirophyceae; Eupodiscales; Odontellaceae.
UACAACCUGGUGCAAUGGAUGUCUAGGCUCCCACCACGAUGAAGAACGCAGCGAAAUGCGAUACGCAGUGCGAAUUGCAGGACCUCGUGAAUCAUCAGAAUUUUGAACGCACAUUGCGCUCCCGGGACAUGCCCGGGAGCAUACCCAUCUGAGUG